GAUGAACGCUGGCGGCGUGCUUAACACAUGCAAGUCGAACGAUGAAGCCCAGCUUGCUGGGUGGAUUAGUGGCGAACGGGUGAGUAACACGUGAGUAACCUGCCCUUGACUCUGGGAUAAGCCUGGGAAACUGGGUCUAAUACUGGAUAUGACUUCUCAUCGCAUGGUGUGGGGUGGAAAGAUUUAUUGGUCUUGGAUGGACUCGCGGCCUAUCCGCUUGUUGGUGAGGUAAUGGCUCACCAAGGCGACGACGGGUAGCCGGCCUGAGAGGGUGACCGGCCACACUGGGACUGAGACACGGCCCAGACUCCUACGGGAGGCAGCAGUGGGGAAUAUUGCACAAUGGGCGCAAGCCUGAUGCAGCGACGCCGCGUGAGGGAUGACGGCCUUCGGGUUGUAAACCUCUUUCAGUAGGGAAGAAGCGAGAGUGACGGUACCUGCGGAAGAAGCGCCGGCUAACUACGUG
Molecule: ribosomal RNA, 466 nt
Filed under: uncultured bacterium
Lineage: Bacteria
Description: partial 16S ribosomal RNA
Rfam family: Bacterial small subunit ribosomal RNA
Source: RNAcentral